ACAGCAAUCGAUGAGAAGCAGGGAUCGCCAUUUACAUAAGAGGAGACUGAGGCAUAGAGCAGCCCUGCCCCGAAUCCCUGCCAAAAGCGACCUCCUCCAACUGCAGCCUCAGCACCGACACUCUGAUGCUCACUGGUGUGCCUCCUGCCCGCCUCUGCACCACACAAGGAGCUCUUUGAGGACAAGGACUAUGUUGAACUCAUCUUUGUAUUUCCAGCCAUCAGCACAGUGCCAGGGCCAGGGACGGCAUCAACAAACAUUCUGCUGAAUGAUUGAAUGGUCAAAGAAUAACUUUUUCUUAAGGACAAAAUCGUGACUCUGAUACCAAUAACCUAUGUCA
Molecule: long non-coding RNA, 340 nt
Filed under: Homo sapiens (human)
Lineage: Eukaryota; Metazoa; Chordata; Mammalia; Primates; Hominidae
Description: non-protein coding lnc-NECTIN1-1:4
Source: RNAcentral